RNAcentral lists this ribosomal RNA (254 nucleotides) under uncultured bacterium. RNAcentral's name for it is "partial small subunit ribosomal RNA". It matches the Rfam family "Bacterial small subunit ribosomal RNA", at positions 26 to 285 of the family's 1533-position model. The record is from RNAcentral.
AGGACGAACGCUGGCGGCGUGCUUAACACAUGCAAGUCGAGCGGAAAGGCCCUUCGGGGUACUCGAGCGGCGAACGGGUGAGUAACACGUGAGUAAUCUGCCCCUAGCUCUGGGAUAGCUCCGGGAAAACCGGGAUUAAUACCAGAUACGACCACUUUAGACAUCUGUUGUGGUGGAAGAAUUUUGGCUAGGGAUGAGCUCGCGGCCUAUCAGCUUGUUGGUGAGGUAACGGCUCACCAAGGCGACGACGGGUA